AGCUUUAGGCAUAUAUCUAAGGUUAAACCUGCCCAAUGUGUAAUCUAUUAAUGGCCGCGGUACUUUGACCGUGCUAAGGUAGCGCAAUCAGUUGGCUCUUAAUUGGGGUCAGGAAUGAAUGGAGUUACGGGGCUUAGCUGUCUCCUAGUUAUUUAAUUGAAGUUACUAUGUAGGUGAAAAAGCCUAUAAGUAGAAAAAGGACGAGAAGACCCUUAGAGUUUUACUUAUUAUGAUUGAUUUUUUUUCUCACGAUGGUUUAGUUGGGGCAACAUAGGAGCAUAUAAACCUCCUGAAAAUAUAUUAACCGACAUUUGUAAAUGUGAAUAAACUACCUUAGGGAUAACAGCAUAAUGUUUAAAAAAAGUUUGUGACCUCGAUGUUGGACUAGGAAACUAAAAGGCUAGCCGUCUUUUAGGUAAGUUCUGUUCGAACUAUAGAUUCCU
Molecule: ribosomal RNA, 443 nt
Filed under: Tyrinna evelinae
Lineage: Eukaryota; Metazoa; Mollusca; Gastropoda; Nudibranchia; Chromodorididae
Description: partial 16S ribosomal RNA
Rfam family: Archaeal large subunit ribosomal RNA
Source: RNAcentral